ACCUAUGAGACGUUUCGUCGGUCUCAAUACAGAGACAACGCUCUACGAAACCGUCUCUCUAUAGACUCGA
Maniola jurtina (meadow brown) is the source of this 70-nucleotide long non-coding RNA. RefSeq lists it as uncharacterized. The record is from RefSeq and is a predicted model, not a curated record. The transcript has 3 exons. NCBI's taxonomy places the organism in Eukaryota, Metazoa, Arthropoda, Insecta, Lepidoptera, Nymphalidae.